This 253-nucleotide ribosomal RNA is filed under the name uncultured bacterium. RNAcentral's name for it is "partial 16S ribosomal RNA". It matches the Rfam family "Bacterial small subunit ribosomal RNA", at positions 524 to 776 of the family's 1533-position model. The record is from RNAcentral.
UACAGAGGUGACUAACGUUGUCCGGAAUUAUUGGGCGUAAAGGGCGCGUAGGUGGUCAGGUAAGUCAGGUGUGAAAGCUCUGGGCUUAACCCAGGAAUUGCAUCUGAUACUGCUUGGCUUGAGUACGGUAGAGGAGGGUGGAAUUCCCAGUGUAGCGGUGAAAUCCGUUGAUAUUAUGGGGAACACCAAAAGCGAAGGCAGCAUACUGGCGCACUCCUGACGCUGAGACACGAAAGCGUGGGUAGCGAAUGGG